GCGGCGAUGCUCGCCGGACCCCACCGCGUACCGCCCGCCGCCGCCGCCGCCGUCUCCCGAGCAAACCCUAGAUGAAGAAUCCUCGCCCUUCUUCACUUCUCAUGGUUUCUCUCCCCAAUGCCCCCUCCAUCCCCUCCCCGACCUCUCGAUGACUUCCCGACCCGCCCGGAUCCGAGAAAACGACCCGCCCGCGACCCGGGCCCUCCCUCCUGCGCCGUCCGCUCCCUCCUCGGUCUCUGCUCUCGAGGUCAACUCGCGGACGCCGUUGACUCCCUCCGCCGGCUGGCCCUGAAGGGCGUCCGCUUGCCCUCCGGAGUGCUCGCCCACUUGAUCCACCAAUGCGGCGCCGCCGCGUCCCUCCGACACGGGAGACGCGUGCACCUGCAUCUGAAGCUCACCGGGCUGGAGAGGCCCGGCGUGUUUCUGUCCAACCGCUUGAUCGAAAUGUACUUCGGAUGCGGCGACCUAGUCGCCGCGCGCAAGGUGUUCGACAAAAUGCCGGCGAGGAACGUGUAUUCGUGGAACAGCGUGCUCUCCGGGUAUGCCAAGUUGGGCAGGAUGAAUUCGGCGAGGAGGCUGUUCGAGAGAAUGCCGGAGAGGGAUGUGGUGUCGUGGAACACCAUGGUGAUGGGGUAUGCACGGUGCGGUUGUUGCGAUGAGGCGGCGAGGCUGUAUAGAGAGUUGAGGAGGUCGGGGACUGAGUGCAGCAAGUUUAGUUUUGCGGGCAUUUUGACUGUUUGUGUGAAGUUGAAAGAUUGGUGCCUUAGCAAGCAGGUUCAUGGGCAGGUCUUGGUUUCUGGCUACUCAUCCAAUGCGGUUAUCGUCAGCACUAUAGUCGAUGCGUAUGCAAAGUGUGGGGAGAUGACUGAUGCGCGGAGAGCAUUUGAUGGCAUGCGAGUGAAAGAUAUUCUUGCUUGGACCACAUUGGUCUCUGGGUAUGCCAAAUGGGGCAACAUGGAGGCUGCGAAGGGAAUAUUUGAUCAGAUGCCUGAAAAGAACGCAGUUUCUUGGACUGCUUUAAUUGCUGGAUAUGCUAGAAAUGGUUUGGGUGAUAUUGCGCUUAAGUCACUUUCAGAAAUGAUGAAACUUCAGCUUAAACCUGACCAAUUCACUUUCAGUAGCAGCCUGUGUGCUUGUGCUAGCAUGGCCUCAUUGAACCAGGGUAAACAAAUCCAUGGCUUCUUAAUAAGGACUUACUUUAGGCCCAAUACAAUAGUUGUCUGUUCUCUCAUUGACAUGUAUUCUAAAUGUGGUCUUCUCAGUUCUGCUAGGUUGGUUUUUGAUCUUGAGGGUGACAAUAAUAACGUGGUUUUGUGGAACACAAUGAUAUCUGCCCUAGCGCAGCAUGGCCAGGGUAAAGGUGCGAUAGAGAUGUUUAAUGACAUGAUCAGGUUGGGCAUUAAGCCAGAUAGGAUCUCUUUACUUGUCAUUGUCAAUGCUUGCAGUCAUUCCGGUCUUCCAAAGGAAGGACUGCAGUUGUUUGAUUCCAUCACACGCGAUCAUGCAAUUUCUCCAGAUCAGGAACAUUAUGCAUGCAUGAUUGAUCUCUUGGGACGAGCUGGUCUGUUUGACGAGGUAAUUAACCUGAUCCGUAUGAUGCCUUUUCCACCGGAUGAGCGCAUAUGGAAUGCCUUGCUCUGUGUGUGUAAGAUAUACCGCAAUUUGGCUUUAGGAAAAGAAGCAGCUGAACACCUGCUUGAGUUGCAACCGAACUCUCCUGAAGCUUACAUAUUCCUGUCAAGUGUCUAUGCAUCACUUGGGGAGUGGAAAUCAGUAGAGGACGUUAGAAAACUUAUGCAUGACAGAUGUGUAACAAAAGAUCGAGCUGUCAGUUGGAUAGAAACCGACAGUAAGGUGCAUUCUUUCUCCAUUGCAGAGGACUCGCAUCCUUCGAAAGAAGAAAUAUAUUCGAUGUUGGAUCAGAUUGCUAUCCAGAUGGAAGAAGACAAGUUAUGACUCGAUACUCAAUAGUCACCGUAUGUAACCUCAAUCCUUGGACAGCUCGGGGUCAAUCAGGGAAGAUGACGCUUUGGCUGGGGAGAUCAACCUGUAAUUCUUGUUCUCUUGAGCUAGGUCAAGGAAGAUCAUGCUCUGGUUGGGGAUUAUCAACCUGUAAUUUUUGUGCUCAACUUAGAUGAGGGCCUAUAACACCAACAUCAAUUCUUUUGAUGCUAAAGAGCUAGAGAGUUUCUGAGUAAACUCGUAGUAUACUUGAGAAUCAACAAAGUUUUGACAGGCUGCUGAAGACUUUUGUGCUUCAGGUCUUCGACAAACAUAACAGAAGUGAUGACUUUCACUUUGUAAUGGAUAUUCUUAAGGUAAAUGAGAUAGGGAGUAAUACUUGUUCUGUGAAUCUCCCAUUGAGACGCCAAAAAAGCGGUUUGACUUGAAUUAUGCCUAACAGUUUCGAACGUGAUUAUGUGGUCGGUAACAUGUGAUCCUUGUUCUUGUGGGAGAUUGAAAUGUGCAUGACUCAUCCAAUGGUUUGCUUAGGAACAGUGAUGUUAGUUUAACCUCCUAGUUGCCGUCUAUCGCUUUCCUGUCACAGGCGGAAAUGUAGGGAUGCUCUUGGUCUAUGCAUCCUCUCGCCUCAUACCACGUAUGUGAGCUACACCCUUAAGCAAGAUGGUGCAUUGUACAUGCAUAGGCCACAAAGUGUUCGGCGCAAUUACCUCCUAUUUGACGUGAGUUGAUUCAGAGCAUCACCUCAAACCAUUUCAAACUAAGAGCAAAUCAUAGCAGAGGAGCAGCUACCAGUUCCACGGUGAUCAAACGGGGCUGGGAAAAGUCGACAAUGUCGGCAAUGGAAGUUGGUACAGUUCAACUGCGACGUUUACCUUCUACAAAAGAUGAAGCCCUGCUUCCUACCUCCAGUGGAUCGUUGUAAGGAAAGUUACAAGCACGUGCUCAGACUUAGAU
Molecule: RNA transcript, 2919 nt
Organism: Eucalyptus grandis
Lineage: Eukaryota; Viridiplantae; Streptophyta; Magnoliopsida; Myrtales; Myrtaceae
Gene name: pentatricopeptide repeat-containing protein At2g21090
Exons: 2
Source: RefSeq, a predicted model, not a curated record